RNAcentral lists this ribosomal RNA (332 nucleotides) under uncultured bacterium. RNAcentral's name for it is "bacterial SSU rRNA". It matches the Rfam family "Bacterial small subunit ribosomal RNA", at positions 28 to 348 of the family's 1533-position model. The record is from RNAcentral.
GAUGAACGCUAGCGGCAGGCUUAACACAUGCAAGUCGAGGGGCAGCAUGACACGGAGAUUCGUCGAAGUGUUGAUGGCGACCGGCGCAAGGGUGCGUAACGCGUGAGCAACUUGCCCGUUUCUGGGGAAUAACCGGUGGAAACGCCGACUAAUACCCCAUAGCAUAUUCGAGAGGCAUCUCUUGGAUAUUAAAGAAUUUCGGAAACGGAUAGGCUCGCGUGACAUUAGCUAGAUGGCGGGGUAACGGCCCACCAUGGCGACGAUGUCUAGGGGUUCUGAGAGGAAGGUCCCCCACACUGGAACUGAGACACGGUCCAGACUCGUACUCAGUG